CCUACGGGGGGCAGCAGUGAGGAAUAUUGGUCAAUGGACGAGAGUCUGAACCAGCCAAGUAGCGUGAAGGAUGACUGCCCUAUGGGUUGUAAACUUCUUUUAUAAAGGAAUAAAACGAGGCACGUGUGCCUUUUUGCAUGUACUUUAUGUAUAAGGAUCGGCUAACUCAGUGCCAGCAGCCGCGGUAAUACGGAGGAUCCGAGCGUUAUCCGGCUUUAUUGGGUUUAAAGGGAGCGAAGGUGGGUUGGUAAGUCAGUUGUGAAAGUUGCCGGCUCAACGGUACAAUUGCAAUUGGUACUGGCAGUCUUGCGUACAGUUGAGGUAGGCGAAAGUCGUGGUGUAGCGGUGAAAUGCUUAGAUAUCACGAAGAACCCCGAUUGCGAAGGCAGCUUACUAGACUGUGACUGACAUUGAUGCUCGAAAGUGUGGGUAUCAAACAGGAUUAGAUACCCUAGUAGUC
This 460-nucleotide ribosomal RNA is filed under the name uncultured bacterium. RNAcentral's name for it is "partial 16S ribosomal RNA". It matches the Rfam family "Bacterial small subunit ribosomal RNA", at positions 338 to 795 of the family's 1533-position model. The record is from RNAcentral.